Molecule: transfer RNA, 69 nt
Filed under: Ictidomys tridecemlineatus (thirteen-lined ground squirrel)
Lineage: Eukaryota; Metazoa; Chordata; Mammalia; Rodentia; Sciuridae
Also listed under: 1 other name
Description: Spermophilus tridecemlineatus (thirteen-lined ground squirrel) tRNA
Rfam family: tRNA
About the family: Transfer RNA (tRNA) molecules are approximately 80 nucleotides in length. Their secondary structure includes four short double-helical elements and three loops (D, anti-codon, and T loops).
Source: Rfam by way of RNAcentral
GGGGUUGUAGCUCAGUGGUAGAGCACUUGCCUAGUAUGUGUGAGGUUCUGGGUUCAAUCCCCAGCACCA